This is a non-coding RNA of Callithrix jacchus (white-tufted-ear marmoset), 8115 nucleotides long. Lineage: Eukaryota; Metazoa; Chordata; Mammalia; Primates; Cebidae. The record is from RefSeq and is a predicted model, not a curated record.
GAACACCAUGGAACUGUGGUUCUGCAGGGUGCAUAGCAGUGAAAUUUGCCUCUGACGGAGGUCAAGUGAAAUCUGGUUGAGAGAAGCUCCUGUUCACCUUCAGAUACUCAAGACAUCUCAAGACCAGAAGUGGAACCUGUGAAAUGUGUGCAGUCCCAGCUCUGCCCCUCACCCGAGGCCCCCCUGGCCUAGAAUCGCAGGGCUCCUGGCACCCUCAUGACAGGAGCAAUUGUGGUGGACAGAGGCUGGAUGACUUAUCCAUGGCCAUCCUCCAGAGCAGGGAGGGCUCCUUGGAAGCAUAGAAGGGGCAUGUGGCCUGGCCCUCUCUACCCUACUGAACACCUACCUACUCUGCAGGGCCCAGCUCAGACAUUAUGAGAAAAGUUGAUCUACUCUAUUAGCCGAAUCAGCCCAGCAGGAAUUACCCGUGAUCCUCAGCAGCCACCCUGAGAUUUGAUCCAUCAAGAUGAAGCCUAUUUACUCACCCAUCUCUCAAUACUCUUCUGUUAAUUUUGUCCCAGGUUAUACAACUUGCUUUACACCUGGUUCUAAAGCUAAGAAGAUUGAAUGUGGAAAACUUUGUCUAAGAAAAGCAACCUAGAGCACCCACUUCCAUUUAGCUUUGGAAAAUCAUGCACAUCCCUGAAUUCUAAACAGAUGAAAGGCUUAACCAGCAGGUGGGUUUGGGGACCAAGCACAAAGACAAGGCCACAGGCUCUUCUGACUUCCAGACUUUCCCCCCAUUUUUUUUGGAGACUAAGUCUUGCUCUGUUGCCAGGCUGGAGUGUAGUGGCACCAUCUCUGCUCACUACAACCUCCGCCUCCUGGGUUCAAGUGAUUCACCUGUCUCAGCCUCCCGAGUAGCUGAGAUUACAGGUGCAUGCCACUAUGCCCAGUUAACUUUUUGUAUUUAGUAGAGGUGGGGUUUCACUGUGUUGGCCAGGAUAGUCUUGAUCUCUUGACCUCGUGAUCUGGCCGCCUCAGCCUCCCAAAGUGCUGGGAUUACAGGUGUGAGCCUCUGCGCCCGGCCCUUUAGUUUCCUUUUAGGCUCCUGUGUAUAUCUUUUGCCUAUAAAGGAAACAAAACUCAGAAGACUAAUUGGAACAUUUCCGAGUUUCCUUUGCAAAGUCUCCAAAACUUUCAGGCACUGCACUCCUACAUCCAGACAGCUUGUCAUCAGUGUUUCUGUUCAAUUUGGGAGCAAACAAUACCAAAACUCCAUUCUCCCAUGGCUCUGUGUGCAAGGGAGCAGAGCACGUGAGCUGAGUGUCCACCUGGCCGUGCCUACCUUCAGAGUCCUUCACUGGCUCCUCCGGAUCCCCUAGCCAGCACCACUUUGUACUUAAGGAAUUGCAGCGCAACUUCCUGAAACAGAGGUUCCAAUCAAUUUGCAGAGCAGCAGUUUUAAUGAGCAAAGAGUGUGAUAAUACUAUAGGCUUUGCAAGCUGUAUCUUUUAUUCAAUUUAAUUACCUUCCUCUGUGGAUUCCAAAUCAACCAGAGCUUCAGACAAAGGGGGAAUUUCAUCACAUUCUCAGAACGCUGCAUGGCAGGUAUGUGCCUAGACUGGAAUGUGUGAAAGUAGGCAGCAUCCAUCAAAAAUGACAUAACCAUGGUGAAGCUGUCAAGUGAAGGGUUCUAACAGUGACACCAGGCAAGACAAAAUACUCAAAUUCAUGAAUGCUAAUGCUUUGCCACUGCUCGGCAGAGACAUCACCGGACAGGACAGUUUACUCCUCCUUCAUCCCAGGCCGUCACUUUCCCGCCAAGUGCUGUCAUAAGGCCACACUGUGAGGGCAAAGAAUGUCAAAGGGAGGGGAGAGCAUCUUUAAGCUCUUCUCUCCAUCAAACCCCCAGAUCCAGUUCAGCAGCGUUCAUCAAAGGCCUGCCAUGUCAGGCACAGAGCUGCUGCAGGUGGCUUAGAGGUCUGAGGACGUGAUCUCUGCUUCCCAAAAGCUCAUAGACUCCCAACUAUAAUACAAAAAUGGUGAUAAAGGAGGCAUAAAGCUUAAUUGCAAGCACAGAGACAAAGGGGCUAAUUCCAGCUGGGUAGUGUGAGAGGUGAAAUUGAGUCUUAACUCUGAAGUAUCCCUAGGGAAUGGGAGUCUGAGAGCUGAAGGGCAUGCUCCAAACAAAAUCCAGCGGCCAGAGGCAAGGGCUUGUUCAGGAAGUGAUGCUGAUCGAUCUGCUAUAGGCUGGUGUGUACUAUGCUCCGGAACAAGCCUUGGGUGUCUUGAUGUCUAGCUAAGGAAUGUAGGAUGUGAUGGAGAGCUACUGAUGGGUUUUCAGUAAGAGUGGGACAAUCUGAUCUAUUUCAGAAAGGGAACUGGCUGCAGUUGUAGCAUGAAGUGUAAGUGAGGCAAUGCAAUCAACACAGGGCUCUUCAAAUCUUAAGAGGAUUUCCACCGAUUAGGGAACUGAUUUGUUAGGACAAUACAAUGUAACUCAAGCAGCAGUCAAUUUCAGACUAAGUGCUCUUUGGCUGUUGAGAGCUAACCACAGAAUCCUGGAUGUUUCACUUUAACCAAGUCAGGUGCACAGGGCUCUCCAUGUCAGCACUGCUUCUGCUAACCAGCUUUCACUCUUUGUGCUUGCAGUUUAGAUGAAAGGAAGUGAUUGUUUUAAAUUUUUCACACUAACUUUCAUACUAAUACCAUUCUCAGAAAAAAUCCUUCAUAGGGCAUCAAUAUGGCACAGGGCUAACACCUGAGACAGUCACAUCUGCAUUUUCCCAGUGAAAGUGGGGCCUUGGGUUAUUUCAUCUAGAGCAGAGAGCAGCUCAAGGAGUCCCCCAGAUCCAUUUGAUUGAUAUGGAAAGAAGUUUUUCUUUCUAAAGUCCAGAUCAGAUUAAUGUCAUAUCAAAUCAAUUCAACUCAAAGUAAGAUACCUGGUUUAAAAUGGAUUCACUAGAAGAGUACAAAUAGUACACUGUCCUUAGGAAAGGUUGACUGUCCCAUCUACUUAACAUUUACAAACUCGAAGCACAGUAUAUUCAAGUAGAUUUAUGGUACCACAUUAAUAGGAUGUUAAAAAUAAAAUAGCCAGGGCACACAAAGCCUUCUGUGACCUGCUAAUGCUUCUCAAAAUCACCUCAUGGCAGAUGCAAAGAAUUAUUUCCCCCAAGAAAAACAAGACCUUGACUCAAGGCAAUUUUCUGCCCAACCAGCACUUUUUUUUUUUUGGUGGUUGAAUUAAUGUUUGUCAGGCAUUACUGUGAAGUGCAUGAUUAUAUCUACAUAAUAUAUUGCUGUAAACUAGGUUUAUGAGUUCUCACAUAAAUUCUGGGCCACAUUAACAACUAAGUGACUUAAGAGUAAUUCAUGAUAAUUUUUUUAAAUUCAUAAGGUAUAUGUUGAAUGACUAUUUGAAAAGGGCUCAUUUUCUCACUGACCACUGGAGAUCUUUAAACUUUCAGGUAACACUUUUAAGUCUCAAGAGUGUUACUGCUUAAGUCUGGGGAUUUAAGCCAAGUCACAAAUUUCUGGAAAGCAGAGGUACAACUUUACAAAUUCACAUUGAGUUCUCAGUUACAUUCAUUUUACCAUUUAAUAUUAGGAAUAAAAUCAAAGUGCUGUGUGUCACUUCAGUCAGACCUUUGAUCUUAAGAGCAAAAGGAAACAGAGAAUCAUAGUUCACACAUAAUAAACAAAUCUCCAAAUUAUUAAAAAGGCAUUUUAUUAUAAAUACAUUUUAGUUGUAGCAGUAAAAUACAUUUUGUGUUACCAUGAAUCUUUUAAAACAAAAGAACUUCGCUGAGACAAUGACCACACUGUAGAACUGUAGACCAAGUUGAAAACUUGUUUUAUGGAACCAAAGUUGCUAACGUAAUUCCAAAACUAAGUUGGAAAAGAAAAGGACAAAGAAGAAAAUAAAAACCCCAGAGAGUGGCUUUGGGGUUAUUUUAUGGUACAAAUUCACUUUUACUUUUAAGGAUAAACUCUUUAGGUAUUAGAGCCUCUUAGAUGAGGUAUCAUUUACUGCAAAGAAAAAUAAUUGUUUCAAUUUUGCCAUAAAUUAUGCUUAUUUAGAUGGCUAUAUAACUGGUACUUUGAAAGAUAAAACUGACCACCUCAGUUUUGUUCAGCUUCCCUCAGGAAGACUUCCCAAAACAGACCCAGUAUGAAUUUGCUAACUAACUGAUCUUUGAAGUUAGCUGAACAGGUUUAGAUAAGAACUAUAUGUAUGAAGCAUUAAAAAAAAAUCCUGUGUCACUAAUAACAGGACCCUUUAAUAAAAUGCAAAACUCAUUAUCUUUGUAAUUUAGAAGUAUUUUAGUCACCAUAGUUACCUAGGAUACAACUACUACAUAUAGCCAGUACCUUCAUGGGGUUUAAAGAAUCAGGUCAUAUGACUGGCACAGAAAUCAGGUACAGUACAAUGUCAUAUACAUGGAUUUAUAGGAAGCAGGUAUGGUCUGGAUUUAUGAAAAUCCAGGACCCUUCCUCUGUAUAGGGGGAGGCUGAGAAACAUUUUCUCAACUGUAACUGACACGUUGGGACUUCAACCAGGACAAGGAGCCCUCUGACCUACUGAAAGAUAUAAAGAGGUCUUCACAUACAAGGUUAUCGUGCAAAGCAAAGUGUAAAUAAACCAAAGCUCCCCUAUAAGUUGGGACUGCAUAAAGGAAAUUGUGCGGAAAAUAGAAACAAUCCUCUCCAAAGGUUAGCGAGCCUUUUCAGUAAGAAAGACUGUGUCUUAAGAACUCCAAAGCUGUGCAUUCUAUGAUGGUCUUCACGUGUACUUUUAUACCUAAGUCAUUCUGUAUUCUAUUACCUUAAAAAUAGAUUUUUUCGUCUUCCUAGUAUCUCAGUAAAUUCAAUGCCAAACUAAAAACCAGAAGCAGAGCCCAAUACCCGCCACAAGAUGCAGUACAGAGUGAAUAUUAAAACAGCAACAACACACAAAUUAAAAUAUACCCAAAGGCCUGACAGGUUUAUAUUAUAGGCAGUUUCUUUCUCAAAAAUAACUUGCUCAUACAUGUGCACCUAUGACUUACGAAUAAUUCAUGCUGUGUAGGUGAUAGAUCCCCCUAGGCUGUUUUGCAAACACAUAUAGAUUUUUUUAAAGGUAGCAAAGUAAUCAGAGACAUUUAUUUUCUGCCAUAUGUAACACUUCAGGCUCUCUCUAACACCUGCUGGCACGGCAGAGGAUCCAAAAUAACUUUGUUAACCUGAGAAACACAUAAUUGGAAAAACAAAUCCUUUGCCCUCAUGACCCCUCCCCCGCCAAAAAAAAACAACCACAAAAAUAGAAACAUUAUCUGGGGAUUAUCUGUUGUUUUCGAUGCUCUGUGCCACUGCCAUCUUAGGGCAGGGGCUCCUGCACUUAGUGCCUCGAUCAAUGCAAGGUUGCAUUCUCGUGGCAUUCUGAUGGCUUCUUUCCAGGAUUCUCAUUUCCAUGCAUAUGGAUCAAGAUAGACUCUAACCACACCAAACAAAUGCACAGCUUCCAGACCGAAGCCAGGGCAGCAGCGUACACAAAACCAAACUCACCCUAGAAACCAAAGAGCUCCUUCACCUUACUGUGGAAGAGCAGCAGAGACCCCAGCAGGGGUGAGAAUGAGGAGGGGUGGCAGCCAAACCAAAGGUCCUGUUGCUCCAUGGAGACCUUUCUCCAUGACUGUUCCACUCAUGGCACCAGAUUUAUAACAAUGUCUCCAGAGAUCAGUUUUUUACACUGAGAAAAUCAAUGCAUGGUUGAAAAGAUGUUCGGACUCUGAAGGUCUCUGAGACUUUCACUGUGAGAAUCAGACCAGUGAUUUUCAAAAUGUGGUGCCUGGGCUGGCAGCAUCAGCACCGUCUGGAAACUUGUUGGAGAUGUAGAUUAUCAGGCUCCAGCCCAAAAUCAGAAAUGCUGGGGGUAGGUCCAGCUAUCUGAAUUUUAACAAGACCUCGAGGCAAUUCUGAUACUGGCUGAAGUUUGAGAACCACUGCUCCAUCCUGUUCACAAUUCUAAAAUCUUAAAACAGGACAGAUUUGUAAAUAGAUAAUACUAUGUGACUUCUACUCUGUAUUGCGACCUAUGUAAUUUGCCACCCUUUCCCCUUUACUUCUCAAACAUUAAAAAAGUAUUAAUGAAAACACUUACUUCAUAACAUCAAAAAUUCCUUAAAAGGUAAUAAUGAUUUCCCCUCCUCUACAUAGUUCUAAGGCAGGCAAUCACAUGCUAGUAUGCAAAGUAAAAUACAGAAGAGACCUCAUAUAUGAGGUAGAAACAGUUAAAAAGACUCCCCACGAACAUAAUGAAAAUGUAUUGUUUAAUGAACUCAUAGAAUUAUAUAAAACUUACUAUGCUUUAUGCUUAAUAUCUGUAUCAAAAUAAAAUCUCUCUGUUGAACAAAUUGCAAAUAAAGUCUGGUCUAAUACUUUGAUUACUGAAACUAUAUGAAUGUCUCUGGGUUUUCUUAACACUCCAGUUUUAGACGCUUUAGACUACCACGCAGAACUGGGUUUGGGAUUUCACCACAGUUUACAUUUCUAAGUCUAGAUUCUUCUAUUAGGUAUCUCCCUCCAAAAAACUUUUAGAAACUCUGGUGACUCUUUCCUUAAAGUCCACUCCAAAGUAGACACUAUCAAUUAGUUCAAAAUAUUAAAUGUUACAUUAAAAUUGUUUUUAAAUCUCUUGAAUCUCAGAGUCUAAAGUAAUAGCAGAAUGUGUUUAGUGAGAUUCACUCCUUGCAACAAUGGUCUUGCCAUUACUAAUGAAACAGGUAUGAAAGCAGCAAGGGUGAAUUCAGCAGCUUUAAAGUCUCAGCCAAUAAAUGUCCAGCCUCAAGCAGAUGGGAAAUGCGAGGCGCGUAUCAUAAUGAGCACUUUCAACACUAACAUGCCACUUACUCUUUCAAGAUGGUAUCUUUAUAAGUGAUUAACACCACUAUGUGAUACUUUGAACAAGAAUUCAUAGUUAGAAUAUUACCUAUUCUAAUUUCUAGACGGUUUGAAUGUAGAUCAGAUGGCAAAGAGCAGAGACAGAUCCAUUAGGACAUUUACCUUGUGAUUCAGGAAAAUAUAUAGCGUGGCAGUAGAAAUUAAGGAUUUUCAAUAUGUUAAGGGGAUGGUGAGCAAGAAAUAAUGUCUAGUAAAUCAUAAAUUACUACCAUUGAGGAGCUGGAGGGAAAACGAUGGCUAGCCUACAUAACAUUGAAAGCACCAAUUUGUAUCCUUCAAUACAUUUAAAGUUUUAAUCUUGUAUUUUUAUAGAUUGUUUCUGGGAUUCCCUUUUUACAAACAAUUCCACUAUAAAACAAUGCUACAGUAGGUGUCUGUUUUCAAAUGAUAUUUCAGUAAGUCUAGUUUUCUUAAUAACAAUGAUUAAAAUACUAAAAUUUAUCUUCAAAUUGUUCUUCACACUCUGACUCUUAACCAAGGUGGCUCACUGUAGCUAAGGGGGCUAGGGAUAUAUCUAUUAUGUCUGCAGCUUUGCUCGAGAUGAAAAAUAUUAAACACAUAAAAUCAACUACACGAGAGCAACACAAUACUAUAUAUUAAUUAUCCCAAACUUAGGAAAUUCAGUUAGCUUUCUCAGCAACUCCAAUGCUUCCUUAAAAAGGAGAGUAUUUUCACAAAUAGGUCUUGGAAAUUGCUAUGUUUAAUUAGGUAAUGCUUAUUCAGUGAGAAUUCUGCUUAUUUUACUUAUUCUGCAGUUCUCUGAACUGAAAAGACCAGUUGAUGUUUACAUCCAACCUAAACUUACUCUAAAAACGGAUGAUUAAAAAAAAAUCUACACAAAGCAGUUUGUUAUUUCACGUGUAAAAAAAAAAAUGACCUGGAUAGAAAGCCUAUCUGUGUGAGGAAAGAAAAAUUAAGGUGAUGUUAGUUUAAAUGGUCAAUAAUUAACUACCGAUUAAUCAAAAACAAAGUUCUGCUGUAACAAUUUGGCAAAACAUACGCCCAAAUGACAACCAAAAUCCCCUUUAAAAACACACCAGAAAAUAUCCAUGCUACAUGGAUUGGGGUUCUUCAAAUCAUAACAAAAUAUUUUUAGAUCAUGAAAAGAAAUUUUUCAGCAUCAAUGCUCUACUUUACAAACUCUAUCAUCCAAAAUAAUGUCUUUAAGUUUAAAAAAAAAAAAAAAGGAAAAUCUCAGGUAGCACUAAAAUUAAAAAAUGAAACAAAACA